RNAcentral lists this ribosomal RNA (464 nucleotides) under Vreelandella stevensii. Its description in RNAcentral is "partial 16S ribosomal RNA". It matches the Rfam family "Bacterial small subunit ribosomal RNA", at positions 338 to 794 of the family's 1533-position model. Lineage: Bacteria; Pseudomonadati; Pseudomonadota; Gammaproteobacteria; Oceanospirillales; Halomonadaceae. The record is from RNAcentral.
CCUACGGGAGGCAGCAGUGGGGAAUAUUGGACAAUGGGCGAAAGCCUGAUCCAGCCAUGCCGCGUGUGUGAAGAAGGCCUUCGGGUUGUAAAGCACUUUCAGUGGGGAAGAAAGCCUUGGGGCUAAUACCCUCGAGGAAGGACAUCACCCACAGAAGAAGCACCGGCUAACUCCGUGCCAGCAGCCGCGGUAAUACGGAGGGUGCGAGCGUUAAUCGGAAUUACUGGGCGUAAAGCGCGCGUAGGCGGUCUGAUAAGCCGGUUGUGAAAGCCCCGGGCUCAACCUGGGAACGGCAUCCGGAACUGUCAGGCUAGAGUGCAGGAGAGGAAGGUAGAAUUCCCGGUGUAGCGGUGAAAUGCGUAGAGAUCGGGAGGAAUACCAGUGGCGAAGGCGGCCUUCUGGACUGACACUGACGCUGAGGUGCGAAAGCGUGGGUAGCAAACAGGAUUAGAUACCCUGGUAGU